RNAcentral lists this transfer RNA (63 nucleotides) under Cherax sp. HG-2014b. Its description in RNAcentral is "tRNA-Ala". The record is from RNAcentral. Lineage: Eukaryota; Metazoa; Arthropoda; Malacostraca; Decapoda; Parastacidae.
UGGAAAUGUAGUCAACAAUGACAUAUGAUUUGCACCCAUAAAGUGUUUCUGUAAACCUUUUUC